This 393-nucleotide ribosomal RNA is filed under the name uncultured bacterium. Its description in RNAcentral is "bacterial SSU rRNA". It matches the Rfam family "Bacterial small subunit ribosomal RNA", at positions 29 to 429 of the family's 1533-position model. The record is from RNAcentral.
AUUGAACGCUGGCGGUAUGCCUUACACAUGCAAGUCGAACGGUAGAGGAGCAAUCCUCGAGAGUGGCGAACGGGUGAGUAAUACAUCGGAACGUGCCCAGUCGUGGGGGAUAACGUAGCGAAAGCUACGCUAAUACCGCAUACGACCUGAGGGUGAAAGCGGGGGACCGCAAGGCCUCGCGCGAUUGGAGCGGCCGAUGGCAGAUUAGGUAGUUGGUGGGGUAAAGGCCCACCAAGCCUGCGAUCUGUAGCUGGUCUGAGAGGACGACCAGCCACACUGGGACUGAGACACGGCCCAGACUCCUACGGGAGGCAGCAGUGGGGAAUUUUGGACAAUGGGCGAAAGGCCUGAUCCAGCCAUACCGCGUGCGGGAAGAAGGCCUCGGGUUGUAAG